This 65-nucleotide microRNA precursor is filed under the name Cavia porcellus (domestic guinea pig). RNAcentral's name for it is "microRNA cpo-mir-449c precursor". Its record names the gene cpo-mir-449c. Lineage: Eukaryota; Metazoa; Chordata; Mammalia; Rodentia; Caviidae. The record is from miRBase by way of RNAcentral.
AGGCAGUGCAUUGCUAGCUGGCUGUUAAGAUUUUUCAUUUUAGCAGUUGCUAGUUGCACUCCUCU